Molecule: long non-coding RNA, 778 nt
Organism: Phacochoerus africanus (Common warthog)
Lineage: Eukaryota; Metazoa; Chordata; Mammalia; Artiodactyla; Suidae
Exons: 3
Source: RefSeq, a predicted model, not a curated record
AUAACGGGUGAGAAGGUGGGUGAAGCAGAAGAGAGAUGGUGAGAUUGGUAUGAUAGGCUGCUGAGAGAACAGGUAAGAGAUGAUGUUCUGAUCUAGAGAGAUUCGAUUUUGACUCUGAUUAGCUAAAAUCAGAUCAUCUAUAUGAAAUACUGAACAGAGAAACAUUGGACUAGAGGCAUUACUUUCACAGAUACUUAUUUAGUACCUAGUGUCUGCUAGGAGAUGCAGCAGUUGCCAGGGAGAGAAAGAUAAACCCUCGUCCUAAGAAAGCUCCAAGCCUGAGGAGUGAGACCAGUCAAGUCAACAGCACUGGCAUCAGUGAGUUUUAUAGAGGACGGAGCCUGAGGUCACUUGGAGCAGCUUGUUCAAUCAACAGGCCUGAUAUGCGUCAUGCUGCUGGUCCUGCCACAGGUCCGGAUGUAAAACUGGGUUCAUUUCUUAAGGACACAACCAGGCUUCCCCUGUGUAUCUAUGCUGUGCAUUGCAUGGAUGUUGGAAGACAUGGUAAUUGGCUGAUAAACGUUUAUGUGGAGGUUAGCCAAAGAAGAAUAGUGUGUCUUUAGAAAAGAGCUUACACUGCAAUACCUCUUAAAAGAAAAGCACGCUUCCUAUGCUAUAUUUCAUCUAUGUAGCACUGGCGCCCCCUUCCAGCUCAGGAUUAAGAAUGGCAGCCCAAGAGAGCAAAUCAAGCAUUUUGGCUCUGUGAAUUCCACCAGAGGAAGAGGUGUUAAGUCAACAGUUUCAUCAAAGUGUGCUAAUAAACAUCAUGAUAGCAGGA